AGGGCUAUAGUUCAGUGGUAGAGUGUGUGCUUAGCAUGCACGAGGUCCUGGAUUCCAUCCCCAGUACCUCCA
RNAcentral lists this transfer RNA (72 nucleotides) under Camelus bactrianus (Bactrian camel). It matches the Rfam family "tRNA". From Rfam's summary of the family: Transfer RNA (tRNA) molecules are approximately 80 nucleotides in length. Their secondary structure includes four short double-helical elements and three loops (D, anti-codon, and T loops). RNAcentral also lists the same sequence under 2 other names. The record is from Rfam by way of RNAcentral. Lineage: Eukaryota; Metazoa; Chordata; Mammalia; Artiodactyla; Camelidae.